UUAAGUUACUAAGGGCAUACGGCGGAUGCCUUGGCACCAGGAGCCGAAGAAGGGCGCGGUAAGCGGCGAAACGCCCCGGGGAGCAGUAAACAGGCAAAGAUCCGGGGGUACCCGAAUGGGGAAACCCACCAUGGAUAAUGCCAUGGUAUACAUAUCUAAAUUCAUAGGAUAUGUAGGGGAACCGAGGGAACUGAAACAUCUAAGUAUCUCGAGGAAAAGAAAGUAAGAACGAUUCCCUAAGUAGCGGCGAGCGAACGGGGAAGAGCCCAAACCAUAUAUGUGUAAGCCUGCAAGCGUUGCAUAUAUGGGGUAGACGGAGUCAGAGACAGUAUUUGCAGAUUCUGUAUGGCGAAGAGCAGGCGAGUCGAAGCCAACUGGAAAGUUGCGCCAAAGGAAGUGAAAGCCUUGUAGACGAAGCAAGCAGAUAGCCAUCUGAUAUCCUAAGUACUGCGGGGCACGGGAAACCCCGUGGGAAGCAGGGAGGACCAUCUCCCAAGGCUAAAUACUCCCUGGUGACCGAUAGCGCAUAGUACCGUGAGGGAACGGUGAAAAGAACCCCUGGCGGGGAGUGAAAUAGAACCUGAAACCGUAUGCUUACAAACAGUGGGAGGACUAUUAAGAGUCUGACCGCGUGCUUUUUGUAGAACGAACCGGCGAGUUAAUGCAUGAGGUAAGGUUAAGCGGUGCAGCCGCGGAGCCGCAGCGAAAGCGAGUCUUAAGAGGGCGUUGAGUCUCAUGUAAUAGACCCGAAACCGGGUGAUCUAUCCAUGGCCAGGGUGAAGCGGGAGUAACACCCCGUGGAGGCCCGAACCACGUGGUCGUUGAAAAGGCCUGGGAUGAGCUGUGGAUAGGGGUGAAAUGCCAAUCGAACCCGGAGAUAGCUGGUUCUCCUCGAAAUAGCUUUAGGGCUAGCCUGAGGGAGAGAGUUCAGGAGGUAGAGCACUGAUCGGGUGCGGGGUCCUGAAAGACUACCAAUCCCAUUCAAACUCCGAAUGCCUGAAUUUAUACCUUGGAGUCAGAGGUUGGGAGAUAAGUUUCGACCUCGAAAGGGAAAGAGCCCAGACCGUCAGCUAAGGUCCCAAAGUGGAGCUAAGUGGUAAAGGAUGUGAAACUACUAAGACAGCCAGGAUGUUGGCUUAGAAGCAGCCAUACAUUUAAAGAGUGCGUAAUAGCUCACUGGUCAAGCGGUUUUGCGCCUAAAUAUGUAGGGGGCUAAGUUCCACACCGAAGCUACGGAUCCGUAAGGAUGGUAGGGGAGCGUUCCAUGUACGUAGAAGCGAUACCGAAAGGAGUCGUGGAGAGCAUGGAAGUGAGAAUGCCGGUAUGAGUAGCGAGAAGGCAGGUGAGAAUCCUGCCCGCCGAAAGCCUAAGGAUUCCUGAGGAAGGUUCGUCCGCUCAGGGUAAGCCGGGGACUAAGCCGAGGCCGAAAGGCGUAGGCGAUGUACAACUGGUUGAUAUUCCAGUGCCACCAUCGAGCCGUUAAAAGCGAAGGGGUGACGCAGAAGGGUAAGUCAUCACACGACUGGAAGUGUGUCCAAGCGAGUAGGGUGCUUACUAGGUAAAUCCGGUAAGCGAGAGCCUGAGACGUGAUGGGGAGCGGGAUAAUCCCCGCGAAGAGACUGACCCCAUGCUGCCAAGAAAAGCCUCUAGUGAGGCUGGUUGGUGCCCGUACUACAAACCGACACAGGUAGGCGAGGAGAGAAUCCUAAGGCGCGCGAGAGAACCCUUGUUAAGGAACUCGGCAAAUUGACCUCGUAACUUUGGAAGAAGGGGUACCCUGUUAGUGUGAACCUAAAACAAGCGGAGCACGAGAGGGUCGCAGAGAAGAGGCCCAAGCGACUGUUUAUCAAAAACACAGGUCUCUGCUAAGUCGCAAGACGAAGUAUAGGGAUUGAUGCCUGCCCGGUACUGGAAGGUUAAAGGGAGAGGUUAGCGCAAGCAAAGCUUUGAACUUAAGCCCCAGUAAACGGCGGCCGUAACUAUAACGGUCCUAAGGUAGCGAAAUUCCUUGUCGGGUAAGUUCCGACCCGCACGAAUGGCGUAACGACUUGGGCGCUGUCUCAACAAGGGACUCGGCGAAAUUGAAAUACUCGUAAAGAUGCGAGUUACCUGCGAUAAGACGGAAAGACCCCGUGGAGCUUUACUCUAGCCUGAUAUUGGAUUUUGGGACAGAAUGUACAGGAUAGGUGGGAGACUGAGAAGGUAGGACGCUAGUCUUGCUGGAGUCACCUGUGGGAUACCACCCUUUUUGUAACGGAAUUCUAACAUUAUACCGUGAAUCCGGUUAAUGAACAGUGUCAGGUGGGGAGUUUGACUGGGGCGGUCGCCUCCAAAAGAGUAACGGAGGCGCCCAAAGGUUCCCUCAGCGCGGAUGGAAAUCGCGCGAAGAGUGUAAAGGCAUAAGGGAGCUUGACUGCGAGAGAGACAUCUCGAGCAGGGACGAAAGUCGGGCUUAGUGAUCCGGUGGUUCCGAGUGGAAGGGCCAUCGCUCAACGGAUAAAAGCUACCCCGGGGAUAACAGGCU
This 2524-nucleotide ribosomal RNA is filed under the name fermentation metagenome. RNAcentral's name for it is "bacterial LSU rRNA". It matches the Rfam family "Bacterial large subunit ribosomal RNA", at positions 3 to 2483 of the family's 2925-position model. The record is from RNAcentral.